UGCUGUGUAAUCCCAGCGACUCCGGUCGAGGCAGGAGGACUACAAGAUCUUACUAGAUCUCUUCUGGCGUACUAGCUACAAUCGCUCUGACCUCAAUAUUGUACAAUUAAUGGUUAUGUGAAAUCCUGGAGUUUUCUGUGAUCUAAGUGGAAACAGAAAGUAGGUAUAGUUUGUUUUCUUGAUUGACAAUAUUAUUAAAAAUUUCCCCAAAAACUUCAUUUUAAAUUUUUAUCAAAAACUUAACUGUUUUAGAGUUUAACAUCUUAUAUCAAAGUUAAAAAAUAUAUUUAGAAUAUUUUGCCUUAUACCUAAAACUCAUAACAAUUUUAUACACUGUUUCCAUAAACAAGUGAAUCAUUUUUAAAAUGACUUCCUUUUGCCUGACCAUUCCAAAAGUCAAAUCUCCUACUGUGUAUUUGUGUUGUUAUAGGCAUACCAGCUAUUGUCAUAAAUUCUCCUCAUGCUAAUGGGGAAUAAUUGGAAACGGUUGGUUAUACAACAAGGACUUACCUGGAAGGUCAUAUUUGAGAAUGAUGUUUUUUUUUUUUUUUUCUUUUUUCCAGUGCUGGGGAUGGAACCUAGGGCCUCAAGCCUGCCAGUCAAGUACUCCACUACUGAAAUACACUCCCCGUCUGACAAUACUGCUCAUUUAAUCAGAUAUAACUAGAUCCUUUUAAGGAGCUGAGAUUGACUUUAUGGAGCUAGUGUUUACAAAGCCCUUUUGGGAAAACCAGCCUGGUAUCUGGCUUACAUCAUUCCCACAAUUUUGGAAUUGUAAUGAAGAUGACUUUCUGGCAGGCCAGAGACCUGAGGAUAUUCUGGGAAACUGAAGAAGAGAGGAGUUUUUCCAGAGCUAAGAGUACCUCACCAGGUCUGGUGGCAAGUUCCUAGCUUCUGGCCUUAAGUGGUUACUGAAAGCCCAGUCCAAUUUUUUUUUUUUUUAAUACAAGGAUUGAAACCAAGAGCAUUUAACCACAUCCAUAUCCCCAGCCCUUCUUAUUUAUUUAUUUUGAGACAGGGUCUCACAAAGUUACUUAGGUCCUUGCUAAGUUACUGAGGCCGGCCUUGAACUUGAAGAUCCUCCUGCCCCUGAGUUGCCAAUUUGAUAUCUUUAGGUAAACUUCCUACCAAACAAACUUUGAAGAGGCACACGCAUGUGAAGUGGGGGGAGAGAUGGAAGAUAGAAUCCACAGCUUUGUGUUAUCCAGACUGGCCUACUGCUUGUGACCCUUCUGCCUCAGACUCCCAAGUAUCUGGGGUUAUAGGCAUGCCCCACCACAUGAUGCCCAUCUGGUAAAUGUUCUUCCUAUGAAAAUAACUAGACUAAGUCUAAUCAGAGCAGUUUUAUUUUGUGGACCAGAAUAAGAAGAAUAAUCUGAAGGGCCCCAUGAUGCAGUCCUAUAAUCCCAGUGACAAGGGAGGCUGAGGCAGGAGAAUCACAAAUUCAAUCUCUGGUACCAAAAUCAUCAUCAUCAUCAUCAUCAUCAUCAUCAUCUUUCUUUGAGAUAAUUUUUUAUCAAAAUUGGGAGCCUGAAGGGAAAAUAUUGUUUUAAUGGAAAAUGGUGCAUUUAAUUCAUAGCACAUUAUGGAAGGUUAUUGAAUUUCAUUGUCUUUGAGCUACUUUGCAUCUGUUUGUAAAUUGCAGGUAACUGAUGGCUAUGCAAACUCUGUUUUGUCUGGCGGAGAUUUAAUUGACUCUACUGCCGACUCCACAGAUGGAAGAAUAUAGUCACACUUACAAUUAUCCUUUGCUAGAAAAAGCCUUUGCUUCCCUGAGUACACAGCCCUCAUUAAUCAUAUAAACUAGCAGCAUAAGGUUGAUUUACCCCAAAUUUACCUAAUCUGUAUCAUUGCCCUUCAAGACUGAUUUGGAUCAACAGAUUACCAGCUACCAGGUUUCCUCCAUCAUUUCCUCCCAAAGAUAAAAGGCAAGUGGUUCAUUUCUUUUUACAAAAGAAUUAAGAUGAUUUUCAGGAUCCUAAUCCACCAUCUUCUUAGUUAUGGCUUGAAUCUGGACUGUCUCCCUCAAACACUCAUGUGUUGAAAGUAUGCUUCUCAAUGCAGUAAGGUUCAGAGGUGGGGUUUAGACAAUGAUUGGAUCGUGAGGAUUCUGACCUCAUCCAGCAGUUAAUCAGUUUGAUGGAUCGAUCUGUUGAUAGCUGAAUGGACUACUGGGAAGUGGGACCUAGUUGGAGGAAGUAGGUCACUGGAGGUGUGCCCUGGAAGGGCUCCGGUCCUCCCACACCCCUCUACUUCUUGGCUGCCAUGAACUGAGCAGCUUUCCUCCAGGAUGCCCUUCCACCAUGAUGUUUCUGCCUUGGAGCCAGCUGACCAUGGACUGAAACUAUAAAACCAUGAGUGAAAAUAAAUCUUUCCUUCUCAAAGUUCUUGUUAGAUAUUUUGGUCACAACAAAGAAAAGUUGAUUAAUACAUUGAAUAAAUCUUUUUCCUGACCCCAACAAC
RNAcentral lists this long non-coding RNA (2463 nucleotides) under Marmota monax (woodchuck). The record is from RNAcentral. Lineage: Eukaryota; Metazoa; Chordata; Mammalia; Rodentia; Sciuridae.